UUUGAACGCUGGCGGAAUGCUUUACACAUGCAAGUCGAACGGCAGCACGGGGGCAACCCUGGUGGCGAGUGGCGAACGGGUGAGUAAUACAUCGGAACGUGCCCGGUCGUGGGGGAUAACGUAGCGAAAGUUACGCUAAUACCGCAUACGAUCUGAGGAUGAAAGCGGGGGACCUUCGGGCCUCGCGCGAUCGGAGCGGCCGAUGUCAGAUUAGGUAGUUGGUGGGGUAAAGGCCUACCAAGCCGACGAUCUGUAGCUGGUCUGAGAGGACGACCAGCCACACUGGGACUGAGACACGGCCGAGACUCCUACGGGAGGCAGCAGUGGGGAAUUUUGGACAAUGGGCGCAAGCCUGAUCCAGCCAUUCCGCGUGCAGGACGAAGGCCUUCGGGUUGUAAACUGCUUUUGUAUGGAACGAAAAGGCUCUGGCUAAUACCUGGGGCUCAUGACGGUACCGUAAGAAUAAGCACCGGCUAACUACGUG
RNAcentral lists this ribosomal RNA (484 nucleotides) under uncultured bacterium. RNAcentral's name for it is "partial 16S ribosomal RNA". It matches the Rfam family "Bacterial small subunit ribosomal RNA", at positions 30 to 507 of the family's 1533-position model. The record is from RNAcentral.